ACAUAAUAUAGCAAAAGUAGAUAACCAGAUAAAGAAAAUAAAUACAUAAUGAUCUGCAAAAUAAUCAUUUCAUGUGCUCUCAAAAAGUUACCCAUGCGAAGUCUGAACUCCUUGUAGACAAUCUUUGGAGCCAUCUGAAGGAGUGAUGCUUGUUGUAUUAUUUUCCAUAUUUGUGUGAGGGAGAGGCAUAUCUGAAUACACUGAUUCCUGUAUAUCAGCAAUUUUCUCUAGACUUUCUUCCCCAAAUAAUUACACGCUACCGUAUAAUGAGUUAGUUAUUAACCAAUUGCUAGAUGAAGUCAAAGGUUAAGAGUGAAGAAGGUCAUACGACAAAGAUGUCCGGACGUAAACAAGCAAUGCAACUAUGCUUGGGAUGUAAAAAAUUAAUAGGUAUUCUGAAAGCAUCAGCUUUAUCCAAUGUACAAUCCCAACAUCUUAUUUCCGGGAAAACAAAAAAUGGGAAGCACUUAAUUUAAGAAAAGCUUGCAUCUGUAAGAAACUUUCCUCGUAUAAUGAAACCAAUUUUUCAUUGAACAGGCUGCCAAGCUAAUAAAUUUUUAUUUCUUUCUUGGUGCCGUUCAUUUAAAGUUUUAACCAAUGUUAUGCGUGGAAACUAACAUUUAAUAAACUAUGACUGAGCGGGAAAAUGAAAAAACUCAAAUUUUAAAUACCACAAAACGAUUGCUCAGAUUUGCUGGCUAGAAAACUCAUUAUAUAAAUCUUGACACUGUGAUCUGUGGUAACUAACAUUUAAUAAAUGCAUGACUGCGCGGGGAAAUGAAAACUCAAAUUUUAAAUACCACAAACCGACGUCUAGUAUUGGUGGGCUCCACAACUCAUUAUAAAAAUUUAACACAAUGCAACGUAUGGAAACUAACAAUUAAUCCAUGACUGCACGACAAAAUGGAAAAACUAAUAUUCUAAAUACCAAAAAUCCACUUCUAGGAUUGGUUGGCCUCUGGAGACUAACAAUUAUUAAAAGCACGAUUUGAACGGCAGAAUGAUAAACUCAAAUUUCAAAUACCAAAUUGAGCACCCAUUCGGCCCCAUUUCUUAAUACUCAAUUUCAACCACACAUUUUAUGGGACUCACAACUUUUUAACCUCGUACUUCAUCAACUUUUAUCAAAAUCUACUAAAAAUCUAAUUUUUAUCCAAACCAAACAAGGGCUUAGCAAAAUUCAAAACUUUAUACAUGAAGUGCCCAAGAAAAAUAAACAAAACCCUUGUUUGACUUUGACUUUGAUUCUUUGAGAAUCACUAAUCUCUAACACUCAUUUUCAACCACACGUUCACCACAAAAAAAAAAAAAAGAACACUUUUCAAGGAAUCACUUCUCAACAAAUCUUAAGUAACAAGUGCUAAAUCUACAAGGGAUCCCAGCCUCAUUCCAAAUUCUUGUUCCACGUCUAGAAUUUGGGCACACAAAAUUUUCUCAAUACGAAAAAUUGAAAAUGUGUGUUGAAAGUACUAUAUUUAAAUAAGAAAUUUCAUCAACAAAAAUCAAGCAUUCUAGCUUAUGUUUUCUGUCAGUGUAAGGCUGCAAUCUGAUUACUGUUCAAUGAUAACUUCUUGAGCAUAUAAUAUUUAUGCUUAAAGUAAAAAGAGAAAUAUAUAUAUAUAUAUAUAU
Molecule: long non-coding RNA, 1629 nt
Filed under: Olea europaea (common olive)
Lineage: Eukaryota; Viridiplantae; Streptophyta; Magnoliopsida; Lamiales; Oleaceae
Description: long non-coding RNA (OEUR_LNC011533)
Source: RNAcentral